RNAcentral lists this unclassified non-coding RNA (265 nucleotides) under Ascomycota sp. RNAcentral's name for it is "partial contains small subunit ribosomal RNA, internal transcribed spacer 1, and 5.8S ribosomal RNA". The stretch from base 1 to 47 matches the Rfam family "Eukaryotic small subunit ribosomal RNA", at positions 1785 to 1831 of the family's 1831-position model. Lineage: Eukaryota; Fungi; Ascomycota. The record is from RNAcentral.
AAAGUCGUAACAAGGUUUCCGUAGGUGAACCUGCGGAAGGAUCAUUAUCGUCGGUAGUCUACUACCGUUUGAGGGAGAUGGAAACUUCUCAGGCGUGCCUGGGAAGAAGUACAGCUCUUUUCUUAACCCUUGACUUUUUGCGCACUCACGUUUCCUCGGCAGGCUUGCCUGCCGGCUGGACAACCUAAUAACCUUUUUAAUUUUUAAAUCAGCGUCUGAAUAAUUAUAAUAAUUACAACUUUCAACAACGGAUCUCUUGGUUCUG